This 1556-nucleotide ribosomal RNA is filed under the name Salmonella enterica subsp. enterica serovar Typhimurium. RNAcentral describes it as "bacterial SSU rRNA". It matches the Rfam family "Bacterial small subunit ribosomal RNA". RNAcentral also lists the same sequence under 7 other names. Lineage: Bacteria; Pseudomonadati; Pseudomonadota; Gammaproteobacteria; Enterobacterales; Enterobacteriaceae. The record is from RNAcentral.
UUAAAUUGAAGAGUUUGAUCAUGGCUCAGAUUGAACGCUGGCGGCAGGCCUAACACAUGCAAGUCGAACGGUAACAGGAAGCAGCUUGCUGCUUUGCUGACGAGUGGCGGACGGGUGAGUAAUGUCUGGGAAACUGCCUGAUGGAGGGGGAUAACUACUGGAAACGGUGGCUAAUACCGCAUAACGUCGCAAGACCAAAGAGGGGGACCUUCGGGCCUCUUGCCAUCAGAUGUGCCCAGAUGGGAUUAGCUUGUUGGUGAGGUAACGGCUCACCAAGGCGACGAUCCCUAGCUGGUCUGAGAGGAUGACCAGCCACACUGGAACUGAGACACGGUCCAGACUCCUACGGGAGGCAGCAGUGGGGAAUAUUGCACAAUGGGCGCAAGCCUGAUGCAGCCAUGCCGCGUGUAUGAAGAAGGCCUUCGGGUUGUAAAGUACUUUCAGCGGGGAGGAAGGUGUUGCGGUUAAUAACCGCAGCAAUUGACGUUACCCGCAGAAGAAGCACCGGCUAACUCCGUGCCAGCAGCCGCGGUAAUACGGAGGGUGCAAGCGUUAAUCGGAAUUACUGGGCGUAAAGCGCACGCAGGCGGUCUGUCAAGUCGGAUGUGAAAUCCCCGGGCUCAACCUGGGAACUGCAUUCGAAACUGGCAGGCUUGAGUCUUGUAGAGGGGGGUAGAAUUCCAGGUGUAGCGGUGAAAUGCGUAGAGAUCUGGAGGAAUACCGGUGGCGAAGGCGGCCCCCUGGACAAAGACUGACGCUCAGGUGCGAAAGCGUGGGGAGCAAACAGGAUUAGAUACCCUGGUAGUCCACGCCGUAAACGAUGUCUACUUGGAGGUUGUGCCCUUGAGGCGUGGCUUCCGGAGCUAACGCGUUAAGUAGACCGCCUGGGGAGUACGGCCGCAAGGUUAAAACUCAAAUGAAUUGACGGGGGCCCGCACAAGCGGUGGAGCAUGUGGUUUAAUUCGAUGCAACGCGAAGAACCUUACCUGGUCUUGACAUCCACAGAACUUUCCAGAGAUGGAUUGGUGCCUUCGGGAACUGUGAGACAGGUGCUGCAUGGCUGUCGUCAGCUCGUGUUGUGAAAUGUUGGGUUAAGUCCCGCAACGAGCGCAACCCUUAUCCUUUGUUGCCAGCGAUUAGGUCGGGAACUCAAAGGAGACUGCCAGUGAUAAACUGGAGGAAGGUGGGGAUGACGUCAAGUCAUCAUGGCCCUUACGACCAGGGCUACACACGUGCUACAAUGGCGCAUACAAAGAGAAGCGACCUCGCGAGAGCAAGCGGACCUCAUAAAGUGCGUCGUAGUCCGGAUUGGAGUCUGCAACUCGACUCCAUGAAGUCGGAAUCGCUAGUAAUCGUGGAUCAGAAUGCCACGGUGAAUACGUUCCCGGGCCUUGUACACACCGCCCGUCACACCAUGGGAGUGGGUUGCAAAAGAAGUAGGUAGCUUAACCUUCGGGAGGGCGCUUACCACUUUGUGAUUCAUGACUGGGGUGAAGUCGUAACAAGGUAACCGUAGGGGAACCUGCGGUUGGAUCACCUCCUUACCUUAAAGAAGC